This 948-nucleotide ribosomal RNA is filed under the name Triticum aestivum (bread wheat). Its description in RNAcentral is "partial small subunit ribosomal RNA". Lineage: Eukaryota; Viridiplantae; Streptophyta; Magnoliopsida; Poales; Poaceae. The record is from RNAcentral.
AUGGCGUCGAGGGACUUCUUGGGCAGGUUCGGCGGGGAGAAGGGGGCGGCGUCGGACAAGGCGGGGGGCGGCGCCGGCGAGGCGGACGAGGUGGUCGAGCUCAGCCUCGGCCUGUCCCUGGGCGGCUGCUUCGGCGCCAACUCCGGCCGGGACGCCAAGAAGCCGCGGCUGGUGCGCUCCUCCUCCCUCGCCGCCAUGUGCUCGCUCCCGGGCACCAGCGACGACCUCGCCGCCGCGACGCCCCCGCCGGCGCCGCUGAUGCGCACCAGCUCGCUCCCCACCGAGACCGAGGAGGAGCGGUGGCGCCGGCGCGAGAUGCAGAGCCUCAAGCGCCUCCAGGCCAAGCGCAAGCGCCUCGAGCGCCGCACCUCCAUGAACUCCGGCAAGUCCGGCGGCAGCAGCAGCCGGGACGACGCCCAGGAGCCGCUCUACCCCAGCGCGUUCCAGCUCCGCCGCUCCGUCGUCGACCAGGGGAACCCCUCCUCAAGCAUGCCCGAGCAAGGUAGCGGUGAUGGCGCUGAGGUGAAGAGCACAUCGAGCAUGGAGAUAUCUUCCGAUAAUAAUAACAAUGCCAGCAACCAGAACAAAUCCCUCCCGCCGCCGGCACCAUCUCCGGCGGCCGGGAAGCUGCCGAACGGCAUCGUCAAGGAGCAACCGCCGUUGCGGACCCUCCGGUCGCUGACGAUGCGCACGACGAGCACCGGCGACCUGCGGAAGAGCAUGAUGGAGGACAUGCCGAUGGUCUCGUCCAAGGUGGACGGCCCCAACGGCAAGAAGAUCGACGGCUUCCUGUACAAGUACAGGAAAGGGGAGGAGGUGAGGAUAGUGUGCGUUUGCCACGGCAACUUCCUCACGCCGGCGGAGUUCGUGAAGCACGCCGGCGGCGGCGACGUCACGAACCCGCUCAGGCACAUCGUCGUCAACCCCUCGCCGUCGGUCUUCUUGUAA